Molecule: ribosomal RNA, 400 nt
Filed under: uncultured bacterium
Lineage: Bacteria
Description: bacterial SSU rRNA
Rfam family: Bacterial small subunit ribosomal RNA
Source: RNAcentral
UGGGGAAUAUUGGACAAUGGGCGAAAGCCUGAUCCAGCAAUGCCGCGUGUGUGAAGAAGGCCUUCGGGUUGUAAAGCACUUUUAGUCGGGAGGAAAUACCCCGCAAGGGGAGCAGACGUUACCGACAGAAAAAGCACCGGCUAACUCCGUGCCAGCAGCCGCGGUAAUACGGAGGGUGCAAGCGUUAAUCGGAAUUACUGGGCGUAAAGCGCGCGUAGGCGGAUAAGAAAGUUGGGUGUGAAAUCCCCGGGCUUAACCUGGGAACUGCAUUCAAAACUACUUGUCUAGAGUAUGGUAGAGGAGAGUGGAAUUUCCGGUGUAGCGGUGAAAUGCGUAGAUAUCGGAAGGAACACCAGUGGCGAAGGCGACUCUCUGGACCAAUACUGACGCUGAGGUGCGA